GGCAGUGUGGCAUAGUGGUAAGGAGCAGGGCUCGUAACCGAAGGGUUGCUGGUCGAUUCCCAACUGCUGCUG
Megalops atlanticus (tarpon) is the source of this 72-nucleotide non-coding RNA. Lineage: Eukaryota; Metazoa; Chordata; Actinopteri; Elopiformes; Megalopidae. The record is from the annotation of a GenBank genome assembly.